AUGUGGGCUAAUGGAAACAGCUGUAUGCAGUACAAGUUCUUUGGCGAUGUGGUGACAUUCGACACCACAUACAGGACAAACUUGUAUGACAUGCCGUUUGGUUUGUUUGUUGGAGUUAACAAUCACUACCAGAGUAUCAUCCUGGCAAACGUGUUGAUGCGUGGCGAGCAGGAAGAGAGCUUCGAAUGGGUGUUCUCAGAAUUCCUUCGCAUGAUGGGCGGGCCUCCUCCAAAAACAAUACUGACAGACCAAUGUAGGGCCAUGGAGGUUGCAAUCAAGAAAACCUAUCCAGAGACUGUGCACCAUUGGUGCAAGUGGCAUGUUCUGGAGAAAGCGAAAGAAACACUAGGGCCAUUGUACACAAAAAAAAUAAUAUCGAGCCAUCUAUUCUAUAUCUGUCCCCGGACGACGUUAGCUCAGAUAAGAUGCCGAGCCAUCUCUCGUCAAUCUGUCCCGCGACAGCGUUGCAUCCAGCCGUGA
This 480-nucleotide ribosomal RNA is filed under the name Triticum aestivum (bread wheat). RNAcentral's name for it is "partial small subunit ribosomal RNA". Lineage: Eukaryota; Viridiplantae; Streptophyta; Magnoliopsida; Poales; Poaceae. The record is from RNAcentral.